CCUACGGGUGGCAGCAGUGAGGAAUAUUGGUCAAUGGACGAAAGUCUGAACCAGCCAAGUAGCGUGAAGGAUGACUGCCCUAUGGGUUGUAAACUUCUUUUAUAAAGGAAUAAAACGAGGCACGUGUGCCUGUUUGCAUGUACUUCAUGAAUAAGGAACGGGUAAAUCCGGGCCAGGCGGCGCGGUAAUACGGAGGGACCGAGCGGUAGCCGGAAUUAUUGGGGUUAAAGGGAGCGGAGAUGGGUGGUUAAGUCAGGUGUUAAAGUUUGCGGCUCAAACGUAAAAUUGCAAUUGAUACUGGCAUUCUUGAGUACAGUUGAGGUAGGCGGAAUUCGUGGUGUAGCGGUGAAAUGCUUAGAUAUCACGAAGAACCCCGAUUGCGAAGGCAGCUUACUAAACUGUGACUGACAUUGAUGCUCGAAAGUGUGGGUAUCAAACAGGAUUAGAUACCCUUGUAGUC
RNAcentral lists this ribosomal RNA (460 nucleotides) under uncultured bacterium. RNAcentral describes it as "partial 16S ribosomal RNA". It matches the Rfam family "Bacterial small subunit ribosomal RNA", at positions 338 to 795 of the family's 1533-position model. The record is from RNAcentral.